UGAACGCUGGCGGCGUGCCUAAUACAUGCAAGUCGAGCGAACAGACGAGGAGCUUGCUCCUCUGACGUUAGCGGCGGACGGGUGAGUAACACGUGGAUAACCUACCUAUAAGACUGGGAUAACUUCGGGAAACCGGAGCUAAUACCGGAUAAUAUAUUGAACCGCAUGGUUCAAUAGUGAAAGACGGUUUUGCUGUCACUUAUAGAUGGAUCCGCGCCGCAUUAGCUAGUUGGUAAGGUAACGGCUUACCAAGGCAACGAUGCGUAGCCGACCUGAGAGGGUGAUCGGCCACACUGGAACUGAGACACGGUCCAGACUCCUACGGGAGGCAGCAGUAGGGAAUCUUCCGCAAUGGGCGAAAGCCUGACGGAGCAACGCCGCGUGAGUGAUGAAGGUCUUCGGAUCGUAAAACUCUGUUAUUAGGAAAGAACAAAUGUGUAAGUAACUAUGCACGUCUUGACGGUACCUAAUCAGAAAGCCACGGCUAACUACGUG
Molecule: ribosomal RNA, 495 nt
Filed under: uncultured bacterium
Lineage: Bacteria
Description: partial 16S ribosomal RNA
Rfam family: Bacterial small subunit ribosomal RNA
Source: RNAcentral